Molecule: ribosomal RNA, 495 nt
Filed under: uncultured bacterium
Lineage: Bacteria
Description: partial 16S ribosomal RNA
Rfam family: Bacterial small subunit ribosomal RNA
Source: RNAcentral
GACGAACGCUGGCGGCGUGCCUAAUACAUGCAAGUAGAACGCUGAAGGAGGAGCUUGCUUCUCUGGAUGAGUUGCGAACGGGUGAGUAACGCGUAGGGAACCUGCCUGGUAGCGGGGGAUAACUAUUGGAAACGAUAGCUAAUACCGCAGAAGAGUAGAUGUUGCAUGACAUUUGCUUAAAAGGUGCAAUUGCAUCACUACCAGAUGGACCUGCGUUGUAUUAGCUAGUUGGUGAGGUAACGGCUCACCAAGGCCACGAUACAUAGCCGACCUGAGAGGGGGGUCGGCCCCCCUGGGACUUGGGCACGGCCCCGACUCCUUCGGGAGGCAGCCGUAGGGGAUCUUCGGCCAUUGGCGGAAGUCUGACCGAGCCACGCCGCGUGAGUGGAGGAGGUUUUCGGGUCGUUAAGCUCUGUUGUUAGGGGAGAACGAGUGUGAGAGUGGAAUGUUCACACUGUGACGGUAUCUUACCAGAAAGGGACGGCUAACUACGUG